RNAcentral lists this ribosomal RNA (406 nucleotides) under uncultured bacterium. Its description in RNAcentral is "partial 16S ribosomal RNA". It matches the Rfam family "Bacterial small subunit ribosomal RNA", at positions 29 to 526 of the family's 1533-position model. The record is from RNAcentral.
AUUGAACGCUGGCGGCGGGCCUAACACAUGCAAGUCGAGCGAGCGGAGGACGGGUGAGGAAUGUCUGGGAAAAUGCCUGAUGGAGGGGGAUAACUACUGGAAACGGUAGCUAAUCCCGCAUACCAUCAGAUGUGCCCAGAUGGGAUUAGCUAGUAGGUGGGGUAAUGGCUCACCUAGGCGACGAUCCCUAGCUGGGCUGAGAGGAUGACCAGCCACACUGGAACUGAGACACGGUCCAGACUCCUACGGGAGGCAGCAGUGGGGAAUAUUGCACAAUGGGCGCAAGCCUGAUGCAGCCAUGCCGCGUGUGUGAAGAAGGCCUUCGGGUUGUAAAGCACUUUCAGCGGGGAGGCGGUACCCACACAAGAAGCACCGGCUAACUCCGUGCCAGCAGCCGCGGUAAUAC